GAUGGACUUUCCGCUACCCUUUCUAAGGGAAAGGGCAGCGGAUAUUUAUAUGUAUCCACUACCCGGGGCAGCGGAACAAAAUUAAUUAAAAAGAAAAACAAAAAAUAAAAAUCAAAACCAGAUCUGCCCUAGUCCUCUACCUUAGUACCUUAUCGACCUCCGCCUUCACAGAUCUGCGUCGUUCGCCUCCCUCAUCCUCAAAAGUCGUUCUCCUCCCUCAUCCUCCCACGCCGGCGCCUCCCUCAUCUUCCCACAACGCCGGCGCCUCCCUCAUCCUCCCACGACACCGGCGCCUCCCUCAGCCUCGGACAAAUGCCGACGCCUACACCAAGCUAAAGACUCCAAUAUCUCCCUCAUCAGCCACCCACGCCGCUGCCUCCAUCGUCUCCACCAAAGUCGAUGACCUAAGCCGCACCGCCGCUGCUUCUGCGAGCGAGUUCCAUCCACCGCAGCAGUCUAUUUCGAUCCACCGCCACUACUUCAAGGGAAUUGAAAGCCGGAUCUAUGAAAUAAGUAGAAUAAAUAUCUCUUAUCUUUGAGUGCAAGCACUCAACAGGUGGAUCAUGGAUUAUUAGGAGUUGCGGUUUUAAGAAGAAUUCACUGGUUGUUUGAUCAUGAAUCAACCGAAAAUCAAGCGUAAAGUUGGUAAAUAUGAACACUGGUACUAUUUAGCCACCGCCCUUCCAUUGUUGCUUCUGCUAGGGAUAUUCAAGCGAAGCUAAAGAAGAAUUUUGGAAAAGAAAAUUUUGAGAUUAAAAUUCAAGGGCAUGGCCUGAAGAGUGUGUAGAAGAUGUUGAAAAGGCAAAUUCUGAGGAUGGUGAUGAAUCAUUAGCAGGGGGCAGAUGGUAGAGUGUGUAGAGGAAGAAAUUGGAUAUGGGAAAUUGAAGUCAUAGGCAACAUACUCUUCAGAGUGCAUGUAACUUGUUUUUAGAUUAAGUAUUAUCUUUUGUUUAUAAAUUAUUAUAACUUAUUAUAAAGUAUUUAGGUGGAUUAUAUUGUGAGAUUAUUAUAUUGCAGGUGUUAAAAGUGUAUGUGUGAUAAUAUUAUGUUGAUGAUUAGCAUUGUGUUGAUGGUUAA
This is a long non-coding RNA of Ipomoea triloba (trilobed morning glory), 1077 nucleotides long. RefSeq lists it as uncharacterized. The record is from RefSeq and is a predicted model, not a curated record. The transcript has 8 exons. NCBI's taxonomy places the organism in Eukaryota, Viridiplantae, Streptophyta, Magnoliopsida, Solanales, Convolvulaceae.